GACCUACGGGGGGCAGCAGUAGGGAAUCUUCCACAAUGGACGAAAGUCUGAUGGAGCAACGCCGCGUGAGUGAAGAAGGGUUUCGGGUCGUAAAGCUCUGUCCUCAAGGAAGAUAAUGACGGUACUUGAGGAGGAAGCCCCGGCUAACUACGUGCCAGCAGCCGCGGUAAUACGUAGGGGGCUAGCGUUAUCCGGAAUUACUGGGCGUAAAGGGUGCGUAGGUGGUUUCUUAAGUCAGAGGUGAAAGGCUACGGCUCAACCGUAGUAAGCCUUUGAAACUGGGGGACUUGAGUGCAGGAGAGGAG
RNAcentral lists this ribosomal RNA (305 nucleotides) under uncultured bacterium. Its description in RNAcentral is "bacterial SSU rRNA". It matches the Rfam family "Bacterial small subunit ribosomal RNA", at positions 334 to 659 of the family's 1533-position model. The record is from RNAcentral.